GAUGAAGAACGUAGCUAAAUGCGAUAAGUAAUGUGAAUUGCAGAAUUCAGUGAAUCAUCGAAUCUUUGAACGCACAUUGCGCCCGCCAGUAUUCUGGCGGGCAUGCCUGUUCGAGCGUCAUUUCAACCCUCAGGCCCCCAGUGCCUGGUGUUGGGGAUCGGCCCAGCCUUCCUGUAAGGCCGCCGGCCCCGAAAUCUAGUGGCGGUCUCGCUGUAGUCCUCCUCUGCGUAGUAGCACAACCUCGCAGUUGGAACGCGGCGGUGGCCAUGCCGUUAAACACCCCACUUCUGAAAGUUGACCUCGGAUCAGGUAGGAAUACCCGCUGAACUUAAGCAUAUCAAUAAGCGGAGGA
Molecule: unclassified non-coding RNA, 352 nt
Filed under: soil metagenome
Description: partial contains 5.8S ribosomal RNA, internal transcribed spacer 2, and large subunit ribosomal RNA
Rfam family: 5.8S ribosomal RNA (bases 1-120)
Source: RNAcentral